RNAcentral lists this ribosomal RNA (465 nucleotides) under uncultured crenarchaeote. RNAcentral describes it as "bacterial SSU rRNA". It matches the Rfam family "Archaeal small subunit ribosomal RNA", at positions 327 to 790 of the family's 1478-position model. Lineage: Archaea; Thermoproteati; Thermoproteota. The record is from RNAcentral.
GGGGUGCAGCAGGCGCGAAACCUUAGCAAUGUGCGAAAGCACGACUGGGUCAGUCCGAGUGAUUCCUGAUAAAGGAGUCUUUUGCCUGUCCUAAAAGCACAGGUGAAUAAGGGGUGGGCAAGUCUGGUGUCAGCCGCCGCGGUAAUACCAGCACCUCGAGUGGUCAGGACGUUUAUUGGGCCUAAAGCAUCCGUAGCCGGCUCUGCAAGUCUUCGGUUAAAUCCACCUGCUCAACAGAUGGGCCGCUGGAGAUACUACAGAGCUAGGGAGUGGGAGAGGCAGACGGUAUUCAGUGGGUAGGGGUAAAAUCCUCUGAUCCAUUGAGGACCACCAGUGGCGAAGGCGGUCUGCCAGAACACGUUCGACGGUGAGGGAUGAAAGCUGGGGGAGCAAACCGGAUUAGAUACCCGGGUAGUCCCAGCUGUUACAGCGAUGCAAAGCUCCGGUGAUNCAUUGGCUUAUGGC